UUGAAUUUAGCCCUGUGAUGUCAUCAGAGGAUUCUGCAGCCAAUCGGAUCUCUUGUAACAAUGGAUUGGGCAUGCUGCUUGAGACUGCAGGGAGGAGAGGAAUACAGCUAGCUUAUGGUAAGUUAGGAAAAUAACUAUUACACAUUUAAACAUUACUACAGCUGCCAUUAUGCUAAGAUUGGACUUGGCUGAGAUUGAUGAGAGUUGCAAGCCAAAGGAGCUGCCUUGUUUGAUAGGUUAAGACAAGCCCAUCAUGAUGUGAUAGAUUCUACAGGAUGCCCCAGAAACAUCUGGAACUUAUGUGGUUAAAUUGCUGUACAAACACUCGGGACCAGGGCGCAUGUGUAGGAAUGCUUAAUACGUAAUACAUAGUUAAUGCAUUUUGAGAUAAGUAUUGGCUUGCUAAUCGAUUAUUAAUUGCUGCAGUAUGGGUAUAACCGUUGUAUUUCCUCUGUACGUAUGAACUGCAUUAUCUGUGAUAUAAAAGCUUUGUUAACUCAUGACUCGUGGCUCAGCUCUUUGCAGACGCUAGUCUGACUGAGACUCUACAGCUGCAGAAUAAAUUUAUCAUGUUUUUAUUUUAUUUGUUUUUCCUAUGACCUGUGUCCAGAGUUAGUCUGUUUUACCUGAUGCCAAGAGCAGCUGCAACAUUUCCUGGUGCACUGGCCGAGAAGCAUUGAAACACUCUGAGAUGGUGAAAUUCCUCUCCACCCCACCCCCAGCUCCCGUGACGUGCCCCAGCAGACCUCAAAAUGACUCAGGCGCCACUAGACACAUUAAGUCUAGGAGUUCCUCGUGCGUCUCUUGGACUUGCUCCAGGACACCCCGUGGACGCACACCUAUCCGGGUCUAGGAACCACAGAACUGAAUGGUAAGAGCUCUCAUACAGGGGACUUUUGUUCUGUUCUGUCCUGACCUCUCCUGUCCUGACCUCUCGCUAAUAAGGGGACUUAUAAUUGUCUUUCAGUUGUUUACUCUGUCCUUCAGUAUGGGAGAAAGGGGGGUCUAAGUCACUUAAGCCUAUGGACUGUAUGAUCCGUGACUGUAAAAAGGGUUAUAGAGAUGAUUAUGGUGUUAAAAUGUAUUCCAAAAGACUGAUUGUUCUGUGUGAACGGGACUGGCCCGUCAUAUGCCCUGGUUGGGACCCUCUGGAAGGGAUCCAUACUAUAGUAAUUGGUUCACCUAGCCACCCAAAUCAGUUCCCUUAUAUUGAUGCCUGGCAACAGGUAGUCGAGAAACACCCAGAUUGGUUAAAACAGUGCUCUGAAGAGGCGAGUUGUCUCAUGCUUGCCAGACUCAUCUCUAUCCCUAGUCCUACCUGUGCCCCGAAGUCCAUACUCGAUGACCCAGUUGGACCAGACCUACAUGGACACUCUCCCUUACCACAGGCUUACCCCAUCCCCCUGUUCCAUCAGCCAUUACUGUCCCCCGUAUGGUCGACCUGCCCCUGCCUCUUCCUCCCCUGGAGGACCUGGCAGGGGACCUACUUGCCCCAGAUACACCUUCUAAAUCCCCUGAGUAUACCCCAUCUGUUAUACCCCAUCUGUACUCAGUCCAUUGGGGGAAAGAAAAGCCUCUUCAUGGUUGACACUGGGGCCCAGCACUCUGUUGUGACUAAACCAAUUGCCCCGCAUCCGAACAGAUUGUCACUAUAGAAGGGGCCACCGGUAAGUCUGCCACCAGACCAUUGUCAAUUUGUGAGGCCACGUAAUCCAACACCAGUUUCUGUCCAUGCCAGACUGUCCCACUCAACUUCUGGGGAGACAUGUCCUCUCCAAACUCCAAGCUAAGAUCACAUUUCUUCCCAAUGGUACCACAGCUCUUGACCUCCCACAUAGCCUCAGAAUUAUGUCUGUAUCUGUCCCAAAAGAGGAAGAAUGGAGGUUAUUUGUUCUUAAGGCCCUCAUGGAUGGACCCUCACUACCUCCAGGAAUCAUAGACACCCCAGGGAUAUGGGCUGAACAUAACCCCCCCUAGUCUGGCAAUAAACAGGUCUCCUGUCUAAAUUUAACUGAAAUCAGGCAUGUCCCCCGUCAGUCAGAGACAGUACCAUAUCUCACAAGCAGCAGUGAGGGGUAUUCAGAGAUUUUUAGGGAAGUUCAUCCACUUCGGUAUCCUGCUAUUUUGCCAGUCACCCUGGAAUACUCCUCUUUUACCGUACACAAACCAGGUACUAAUGAGUGCAGGCCUGUUCAAGACCUCAGAGUAGUCAACAAUGCUGUUGUCACCAUCCACCCUGUUGUCCCUAAUCCCUACAACCUGCUUGUCUUAAUCCCUGGUGAGACAAUUAACCUGGACAUGAAUACCUCAAGGCUUCAAAAAUUCCACCACCCUAUUUGGAGAAGCACUCAGCUUGCAACUGCGAGAUUUCACGUCCGAACCAGGCCUUUAUGUCCUCCUGCAGUAUGUGGAUGAGAUUCCCAUUUCUGCCACCUCUCAAGACAAAUACCUGCAAACUACCAACCAAUUGUUACAAAUCUUAUGGGAAGCAGGAUACAUUGUGCCCAGAAGAAAAUGGCAAAUAUGCUGUACAGCAGUCAAGUACUUAGGAUUCCAUAUCUCAGAGGGAAGCCAUAAUUUUGCCACAUCCCCACACCCACCAGUCGCCGGAAAGUGCUUGAAUUCUUGGGUGCCGCCGGAUUCUGUUACAUGUGGAUACCUAAUUUCGCUAUCAUUGCUAAGUCCCUCUAUGAGGCCACCAAAGGCCCUGAACAUGACCAAUUCCUCUGGGAACAAGAACAACAGCAGGCCUUCAGGGCCCUGAAUGGGGCCCUAAUCUGAGCCCCUGCACUGAGACUCUCUGAUCACCAGAGAGUGUUCUUCCAGUAUUUCCAGGAGAAGAGGAAGUCUGCAAUAGGUGCCCUCACACAGUACUUGGGUUCAUGGCAGUGUCCUGUUGCCUACCUGCCCAAACAACUGGAUUAAGUGGCCCAAGGCCUACCCCAUUGUCUGAGAGCAGUGGCUGUGGCCGCCCUCCUUGUUGCAGAAGCUGAUGAAUUGACCAUAGGACAAGAACUCUAUGUCCGUAUUCCACAUGCCGUCCAAGCCCUCCUUGACUACAAGGGCAACCACUGGUUUAGUAAUAGUAGAAUGACAAAGUACUAAGCCAUGCUAUGUUAAAAUCCAAGAAUCCACCUUGAAACUGUCAACUCACUGAACCCAGCCACUCAACAUGAUUGCAUGGAGAUCACGGAUGAAGUCUUCUCCAGUAGACCUACCUCCAGGAAAAAACAAAUGCCAAAUAUUUCACUGACAGCAGCAAUUUUGUGAAAGACGGGAUCAGAUAUGCAGGAUAUGCAGUCACUACCAUCAGUUCUGUUGUCGAAGCCAGACCCCUUCUAAAGGGUACAUCUGCACAAAAGGCUGAACCAAUAGCACUGACCAGGCAGGGCCCUGCAACUGGCUGCGAGCCUACAUGUCAACAUCUACAGUGACUCGAAGUAUGCAUUCCUUACAACUCAUGCCCAUGGGGCCCUAUAUAAGGAACGGGUGACACCCAUGUGACAAUUGGAGACAGGCUGGCCAAUGAAAUUACAAAACAUGUUGCUAUGAAAGACUCUGUACCUCAGUCAACCCUUGCCCCGCUGUUCCUGGUACCCAUCUCUGACUGGUCACCCCUUUAUAGUCCUGAUGAACAAAAAUGGCUGUAAACAGAACCAGGCCAUUUCCUGAAUAAAAAGUGGUACCAAUUAGAAGAUGGGAGAAUACUUGUAUCCACGUCACAUUGUAAGGGCUCUCCAUGAAUCCACCCAUGCAGGAAAAUCAUCCAUGAGGCUACACUUAACCGUUUCUUCUACCUACCAGGCCUGUCUACAGUAAUGCAAGCAGUGGAAUGUGCCAAAAAUAACCCCUGACAAAGACCAAGCCAACCACCAGGGAUUCAAACUGUUGGAGCAUUACCUAUGUCUAAUUUGCUCAUUGACUUUACUGUUAUGCCAAAAUCUGGUGAAUUCCACUACAUCCUUGUUAUUGUAUGCUCAUACUCUGGCUGGGUAGAAGACCGGCCCACCAGAACAGAAAAAAAACAAAGUGGUCCAAUUUAUGCUCUUUGAAAUCAUCCCAAGGAACUGGAUACUCACAUCGGUGGGAUCUGAUAAUGGCCAGGCCUUAGUGACGUGUGUAGUAUACCCAGGUGCUAAUAAAUACAGAAGUGGCAGUGCUGCUAAAAUUCCACUGUAAAAUCAACCACACAAUUUCACAAUAAAAUACAAAAAACACACAGAAAAAAGUGGACAGCACUCUAGUGAAGCAUGCACUAGUGGAUAAAGAGAGUAAUGUGGUAAUAUCUAAAAUUCAUAUAUGUCAUGUAAAACUCCUUUCCACUAGUGCUGCAAGAAAUAAAAGCUCACAUAGGCUAUACAAUCUAGCUAUAAAUAAAGUAUAUCUAAAUCUUCAUAAGUACCACUCACAUUUUCAUGAGCCUGUAUAUAACUGGCUCAGGUAUAACAGCGUAGAGCUUCCUUGGUCCUACCAGGUUGUAGUAAAAACAGAGGGAAUCAGAUUAGAACCAAGUAUUCAUUUUUUUAAAACAAGAAGCAUAAAAAAAUCUUACAUGUAAGUAGGCAAGAUGCUGUGGAAUGAAAUAAAACCUGAAUGCCCCGGACAAAGGCGCUUUAGUAGCGCUAAAACGCACGUCAGCUUGCUGUUUUUCUUUUUAAUUAUUGACUUCACGAUUGUUUGCACGAUCGUUAUGUAGUUUGAAGAAUAUUUUUUUGUGGGGAGGACUACCAAGACUAGCAGUGUGUGGACGUAUCUGGAGGGAAUUCUGCUAUUUGGGGGAUUGGGGAAUCCAUAAGGAGGAGUUUAUAGGUACUAUUUCAAGUUUAGAAAAUCUGAAUGUUUGGUAGCAUCAAGCCUUCCUGUUUAUUUUUUUAGUCAGCGACCUAAAAAGUCGAAUCCUAUCUAGUUAGUUUAUAGAAGGCUGCUGCAUAUAUAUUUACAUUUGUUCCUAUUUUUUAAGGUGCCAUUUACAGCCCUAGUAGGCUGGUGUGUGUGUGUGUGUGUGUAUAUAUAUAUAUAUAUAUAUAUUAUUUUUUAAGGUGAAAUGUACAGCCCACUUGAUGUUACUUCUAUCUAAGGCAGUGAUGGCGAACCUUUUUGAGCCUGAGUGCCCAAACCGCAAUACAUGCCAUCUUUUUCCCCCUCAAUUAAACCUGAAUACUGAGGUUUAAGUUUAGAAAAAACAACUCGUACAGUUGUCCGAACUAAUUCUCUUCUUCUUUCCCCCCAGCAUCUUGCCUUCUCUACCCACAGCAUAUUCCCCUCUCCCCCCAGCACCUCCUUCUCCUCUCCCCAAAUUCUCCUCCUCUCCCCUUCUCCCCCCAGCAUCUCCUCCUCCUCUCCCCCCAGCAUCUCCUCCUCUCUCCCCCAGCAUCUCCUCCUCCUCUCCCCCAGCAUCUCCUCUUCUCUCCCCCACUCCUCUCUCCCCAGCAUCUCCUCUUCUCUCAGAUUUUCCUCUUCUCUGCCCUUGGCAUCUUCUUUCUUCUUUUUGGUGCGGGUGGGAGUUUGAUGUCCUCCCAGGCUCCCUACCUCCUUCACGCUGCUGUAAGGGGGUGUGGGCGCGAGGGAGCACUGACUUAUGUGCUGUUCCAGCACUGCCCUCUGCUGAUGCUGCCGGCAAAACAGGAAAUUACGUCAAUCAGGCGGCGCCGCCUGAUUGACGUAAUUUCAUGUCUCCCGGCGGCAUCAAUGGAGGGAGCAGUGCUGUAACAGCACGUAAGUCAGUGCUCCCUCGCAGCCUUCCAUCCCACCCACCCACCCACCAGUGCCACCUUAACAAAAUUAUGGGCCCCGGGCAAAGCAAUGCACUGGGGCCCUGCCUACACACAACUCACAGGAAUAAAAAUUUAAAUUAUAGAUAAAAUUAGGCUUAUAUUUAUUAGUAUCUCCAACAAAUGCAAAACAUACAUAAAAUACAUACACACAGACUGCUGAAUACAUACACACCGACACACACACAGUCCGCUGAAUACAUGCACUCACAAACUUACACACAGACUGCUCAAUACAUAAAGACUGCUGAAUACACAUACACACAGACUGCUGAAUACACACUCACACACACACAGAAUGUUGAGUACAGACAGACUGCGGAGUACACACAAACUGCUGAAUACAUACACACACACGCUGCAUUGAGGGGGGCAGUGUACGUGUUUGUGUGUACAGGUGCGGAGUGCUCUGUAUGAGGGGUGCUGUAUGUGUGUGUGUAUGUGUGGGGGGGGGUCUGGAUGCUCUGUGUGAGAGGGGUACUGUGUGUGGGGAGGUGCUGUGUGUGUGUGUGUGUGUGAGGGGGUGCUGUGUGUGUGUGGGAGGUGCUGGGUGCUAUGUAUGAGAGGGGUGCUGUGUGUGAAAGGGAUGCUGUGUGUGUGGGGGGUGCUGUGUGUGAGUGAGGGGUGCUGGGUGCUCUGUGUGAAGAGGGGUGCUGUGUUUGUAUGUGUGGGGUGCUGUGUGUGUAUGUGUGGGAGGUGCUGGGUACUCUAUGUGAGGAGGGGUGCUGUGUGUGAAAGGGGUGCUGUGUGGUGGGGGGCUGCUGUUGUUUGUGUGUGUGUGGGGGGUGUUGUGUGUGUGUGUGUGGGGUGCUGUGUGGGGGUUCUCUGUGUGAGAGGGUGCUGUGUGUGUGGGGAGAUUACUGGGUGCUAUGUAUGAGAGGGUGUUGUGUGUAGAAGGGGUUGCUGGGUGUGUAUGUGUGGGGGUGCUGUGUGUGUGUGGGGGUGCUGGGUGUUCUAUGUGAGGGGGUGCUGUGUGUGAAAGGGGGUGCUGUGUGUGUGGGGAGGGCUGUUGUGUGUGUGUGUGAGGGGUGCUGUGUGUGUGUGUGUGUGUGUGUGGGGGGGUGUGCUGUGUGUGGGGGCUGCUGUGUGUGGGGGAGGUGCUGGGUGCUAUGUAUGAGAGGGGUGCAGUGUGUGAAAGGGGUGCUGUGUAAUGGGGGUGGCUGCUGCUGUGUGUGUUGGUGGGGGAGGGCUGAAAAUAUAUUAUUACAAUCUGAAUCCACCCUCCCUUCUGCUUACCUUAUGUGAAGGAGGGGGGGACACACAUAAAUCCCUGGUGGUCCGGUGGUGGUAAGAGGGACAGGUCCUGCAGCUCUGCCGUCCUGCAGUUUUGGGCAGGCAGGUGCCUACUCUGCAUUGAUGGCGAGCUAUGGCCGCGUGCCCAUAAAGAGCGUGUGCCAUAGGUUCGCCAUCACUGUAGUUUCGAUGAUUAUUUUCACCUUUUGUAAUUGAAAAUAUAUUUUCUGGUUUUGAGUGUAUUACACUAUUUCUAUAUCCACCUUUUCCUAGUACAUCCGAUUUGAGUUACAUUGUUUCCUUUUUUGAUAUCAGGGCGAGUGUAUAUUUAUUUAGCAUUCCACCAGGUUUUCAUGAAACAGUUUACCAUAUUUUACCCACAACUAUCUCUUGCCUCAACUGUCUCCAUACGUUUACACAGGCCACCAAAAAGGCACAUCUUUCAUUAUUAAUGCAAACCCCUCUGUACAUAUUAUAAAAUGCAAUAAAGACUAAGGGCUCGUGUAAAUUGGCAUAAAUAGUGACUUUAUUGGUAUAUCUGCCCCAUAGAUUGGUGUAGUUUGGCUCAAAGGCUGGAUCCAUUCUUUAUAUGAACUUGUAAAGGGGUUUACCAUCAAACCCACCAUCCCAUCUUGGAUCUACUGAGCUAUAAAAAAAAAAAAAAAAAAGGUAAAAUAGUGUUUAUGGAAGGGAUAUUAUUAAGAUAUAUAUUUUUUGCAUACUCAAAUCUUUGUANNNNNNNNNNNNNNNNNNNNNNNNNNNNNNNNNNNNNNNNNNNNNNNNNNNNNNNNNNNNNNNNNNNNNNNNNNNNNNNNNNNNNNNNNNNNNNNNNNNNCAAGCAGCAGUGAGGGGUAUUCAGAGAUUUUUAGGGAAGUUCAUCCACUUCGGUAUCCUGCUAUUUUGCCAGUCACCCUGGAAUACUCCUCUUUUACCGUACACAAACCAGGUACUAAUGAGUGCAGGCCUGUUCAAGACCUCAGAGUAGUCAACAAUGCUGUUGUCACCAUCCACCCUGUUGUCCCUAAUCCCUACAACCUGCUUGUCUUAAUCCCUGGUGAGACAAUUAACCUGGACAUGAAUACCUCAAGGCUUCAAAAAUUCCACCACCCUAUUUGGAGAAGCACUCAGCUUGCAACUGCGAGAUUUCACGUCCGAACCAGGCCUUUAUGUCCUCCUGCAGUAUGUGGAUGAGAUUCCCAUUUCUGCCACCUCUCAAGACAAAUACCUGCAAACUACCAACCAAUUGUUACAAAUCUUAUGGGAAGCAGGAUACAUUGUGCCCAGAAGAAAAUGGCAAAUAUGCUGUACAGCAGUCAAGUACUUAGGAUUCCAUAUCUCAGAGGGAAGCCAUAAUUUUGCCACAUCCCCACACCCACCAGUCGCCGGAAAGUGCUUGAAUUCUUGGGUGCCGCCGGAUUCUGUUACAUGUGGAUACCUAAUUUCGCUAUCAUUGCUAAGUCCCUCUAUGAGGCCACCAAAGGCCCUGAACAUGACCAAUUCCUCUGGGAACAAGAACAACAGCAGGCCUUCAGGGCCCUGAAUGGGGCCCUAAUCUGAGCCCCUGCACUGAGACUCUCUGAUCACCAGAGAGUGUUCUUCCAGUAUUUCCAGGAGAAGAGGAAGUCUGCAAUAGGUGCCCUCACACAGUACUUGGGUUCAUGGCAGUGUCCUGUUGCCUACCUGCCCAAACAACUGGAUUAAGUGGCCCAAGGCCUACCCCAUUGUCUGAGAGCAGUGGCUGUGGCCGCCCUCCUUGUUGCAGAAGCUGAUGAAUUGACCAUAGGACAAGAACUCUAUGUCCGUAUUCCACAUGCCGUCCAAGCCCUCCUUGACUACAAGGGCAACCACUGGUUUAGUAAUAGUAGAAUGACAAAGUACUAAGCCAUGCUAUGUUAAAAUCCAAGAAUCCACCUUGAAACUGUCAACUCACUGAACCCAGCCACUCAACAUGAUUGCAUGGAGAUCACGGAUGAAGUCUUCUCCAGUAGACCUACCUCCAGGAAAAAACAAAUGCCAAAUAUUUCACUGACAGCAGCAAUUUUGUGAAAGACGGGAUCAGAUAUGCAGGAUAUGCAGUCACUACCAUCAGUUCUGUUGUCGAAGCCAGACCCCUUCUAAAGGGUACAUCUGCACAAAAGGCUGAACCAAUAGCACUGACCAGGCAGGGCCCUGCAACUGGCUGCGAGCCUACAUGUCAACAUCUACAGUGACUCGAAGUAUGCAUUCCUUACAACUCAUGCCCAUGGGGCCCUAUAUAAGGAACGGGUGACACCCAUGUGACAAUUGGAGACAGGCUGGCCAAUGAAAUUACAAAACAUGUUGCUAUGAAAGACUCUGUACCUCAGUCAACCCUUGCCCCGCUGUUCCUGGUACCCAUCUCUGACUGGUCACCCCUUUAUAGUCCUGAUGAACAAAAAUGGCUGUAAACAGAACCAGGCCAUUUCCUGAAUAAAAAGUGGUACCAAUUAGAAGAUGGGAGAAUACUUGUAUCCACGUCACAUUGUAAGGGCUCUCCAUGAAUCCACCCAUGCAGGAAAAUCAUCCAUGAGGCUACACUUAACCGUUUCUUCUACCUACCAGGCCUGUCUACAGUAAUGCAAGCAGUGGAAUGUGCCAAAAAUAACCCCUGACAAAGACCAAGCCAACCACCAGGGAUUCAAACUGUUGGAGCAUUACCUAUGUCUAAUUUGCUCAUUGACUUUACUGUUAUGCCAAAAUCUGGUGAAUUCCACUACAUCCUUGUUAUUGUAUGCUCAUACUCUGGCUGGGUAGAAGACCGGCCCACCAGAACAGAAAAAAAACAAAGUGGUCCAAUUUAUGCUCUUUGAAAUCAUCCCAAGGAACUGGAUACUCACAUCGGUGGGAUCUGAUAAUGGCCAGGCCUUAGUGACGUGUGUAGUAUACCCAGGUGCUAAUAAAUACAGAAGUGGCAGUGCUGCUAAAAUUCCACUGUAAAAUCAACCACACAAUUUCACAAUAAAAUACAAAAAACACACAGAAAAAAGUGGACAGCACUCUAGUGAAGCAUGCACUAGUGGAUAAAGAGAGUAAUGUGGUAAUAUCUAAAAUUCAUAUAUGUCAUGUAAAACUCCUUUCCACUAGUGCUGCAAGAAAUAAAAGCUCACAUAGGCUAUACAAUCUAGCUAUAAAUAAAGUAUAUCUAAAUCUUCAUAAGUACCACUCACAUUUUCAUGAGCCUGUAUAUAACUGGCUCAGGUAUAACAGCGUAGAGCUUCCUUGGUCCUACCAGGUUGUAGUAAAAACAGAGGGAAUCAGAUUAGAACCAAGUAUUCAUUUUUUUAAAACAAGAAGCAUAAAAAAAUCUUACAUGUAAGUAGGCAAGAUGCUGUGGAAUGAAAUAAAACCUGAAUGCCCCGGACAAAGGCGCUUUAGUAGCGCUAAAACGCACGUCAGCUUGCUGUUUUUCUUUUUAAUUAUUGACUUCACGAUUGUUUGCACGAUCGUUAUGUAGUUUGAAGAAUAUUUUUUUGUGGGGAGGACUACCAAGACUAGCAGUGUGUGGACGUAUCUGGAGGGAAUUCUGCUAUUUGGGGGAUUGGGGAAUCCAUAAGGAGGAGUUUAUAGGUACUAUUUCAAGUUUAGAAAAUCUGAAUGUUUGGUAGCAUCAAGCCUUCCUGUUUAUUUUUUUAGUCAGCGACCUAAAAAGUCGAAUCCUAUCUAGUUAGUUUAUAGAAGGCUGCUGCAUAUAUAUUUACAUUUGUUCCUAUUUUUUAAGGUGCCAUUUACAGCCCUAGUAGGCUGGUGUGUGUGUGUGUGUGUGUAUAUAUAUAUAUAUAUAUAUAUAUUAUUUUUUAAGGUGAAAUGUACAGCCCACUUGAUGUUACUUCUAUCUAAGGCAGUGAUGGCGAACCUUUUUGAGCCUGAGUGCCCAAACCGCAAUACAUGCCAUCUUUUUCCCCCUCAAUUAAACCUGAAUACUGAGGUUUAAGUUUAGAAAAAACAACUCGUACAGUUGUCCGAACUAAUUCUCUUCUUCUUUCCCCCCAGCAUCUUGCCUUCUCUACCCACAGCAUAUUCCCCUCUCCCCAGCACCUCCUUCUCCCUCUCCCCAAAUUCUCCUCCCUCUCCCCUUUCUCCCCCAGCAUCUCCUCCCUCCUCCCCAGUGCAUCUCCCUCCUCUCUCCCCCAGCAUCUCCCUCCCUUCCUCUCCCCCAGCAUCCUCUUCUCUCCCCCAGCAUCUCCCCCUCUCCCCCAGCAUCUCCUCCUCUCUCCCCCCAGCAUCUCCUCUUCUCUCCCCCAGAUUUUCCUCUUCUCUGCCCUUGGCAUCUUCUUUCUUCUUUUUGGUGCGGGUGGGAGUUUGAUGUCCUCCCAGGCUCCCUACCUCCUUCACGCUGCUGUAAGGGGGUGUGGGCGCGAGGGAGCACUGACUUAUGUGCUGUUCCAGCACUACUCCCUCUGCUGAUGCUGCCGGCAAAACAGGAAAUUACGUCAAUCAGGCGGCGCCGCCUGAUUGACGUAAUUUCAUGUCUCCCGGCGGCAUCAAUGGAGGGAGCAGUGCUGUAACAGCACGUAAGUCAGUGCUCCCUCGCAGCCUUCCAUCCCACCCACCCACCCACCAGUGCCACCUUAACAAAAUUAUGGGCCCCGGGCAAAGCAAUGCACUGGGGCCCUGCCUACACACAACUCACAGGAAUAAAAAUUUAAAUUAUAGAUAAAAUUAGGCUUAUAUUUAUUAGUAUCUCCAACAAAUGCAAAACAUACAUAAAAUACAUACACACAGACUGCUGAAUACAUACACACCGACACACACACAGUCCGCUGAAUACAUGCACUCACAAACUUACACACAGACUGCUCAAUACAUAAAGACUGCUGAAUACACACACUGCUGAAUACACAUACAGACAGACUGCUGAAUACACACUCACACACAGACAGAAUGCUGAGUACAAACAGACUGCGGAGUACACACAAACUGCUGAAUACAUACACACAAACACACACACAUGCUGCAUUGAGGGGUGCAGUGUAUGUGUUUAUGUGUAUGGGUGCUGAGUGUGUGUGGAGUGCUGUGUAUGAGGUGUGCUGUGUGUGUGCGAGAGGGGUGCUGUGCUGUGUGUGGGGGUAUUGUGUGUGGGGGGUGCUGUGUGUGUGAAGGGUGCUGUGUGUGGGGCUGUGCUGGGAGCUCUGUGUGAGAGGGGUGCUGUGUGUUGGGGGGUGCUGUGUGUUGGGGGGUGCUGUGUUGUGUGUUUGGGGGGGUCUGGGAGCUCUGUGUGAGAGGGGUGCUGUGUGUGUGUGAGUGAGGGGGUGUUGUGUGUGUGUGUGGGGGGGGGUGCUGGGUGCUGUGUGUGAGAGGGGUGCUGUGUGUGAAAGGGGUGCUGAGCGUGUGGGGGGGGGCUGUGUGCGCUGUGUGAAAGGGGUGCUGUGUGUGUGUGUGGGGAGGGUUGCUGGGUGCUAUGUAUGAGAGGGGUGCUGUGUUUGAAAGGGGUGCUAUGUGGAGGGGACUGCUGUGUGUGUUGGUGGGGGAGGGCUGCAAAUAUAUUAUUACAAUCUGAAUCCCCCCCUCCCUUCUGCUUACCUUAUGUGAAGGAGGGGGGGACACAGAAAUCCCUGGUGGUCUGGUGGUGGAAAGAGGGACAGGUCCUGCAACUCUCCCGUCCUCCUGUCCACGCGAUGCUGUGUGGAGCGUUGCCAUGGUAACGCACGGCAACGCUCCACACGGAUUGCUCGCGGGAGGACGAGAGAGCUGCUUCUCAGAUCCCUCCCCCGUCCUCCCGACACGGAAGCAGAGUAGGCACCUGCCGUUUUGGGCAGGCAGGUGCCUAAUCUGUAUUGAUGGCGAGCUAUGGCCGCGUGUCCACAGAGAGGGCCCGGCGUGCCACUUGUGGCACGCGUGCCAUAGGUUCGCCAUCACUGAUGUAAGGUAACAGUUUGUUUGGUCAUACUGCUACAUUGGCACCAUUUGUUUCCCAUUGUUUCUAACUCGAUGUGGUUUACCUAUAGUAGAGGUACUGAUUAAUAUGACUUUUUCCCUUUCUAAUAUAACCAAAUUAGGUUCACUUUAAUUGAUAUAGAACAACCUUAUUAGGUUUUCCAACUCUAAUUCCUAUUAGUCCUAUUAGCUCAUAUCCUAUUUAGUCCACAACAGAAUCUCACCCUACUGAUACUAUGCAGAGUCUCUGAUUGUAGCUCUUUUUAAUGGGUUUAUGUUAUGUUUUUUGACUCAGAAUAUUAAAUAAAAUCUAAUUGUAGAUAUCGUAUUGAAGUAUAUUAGCUGUAUAUUCCUCAAGGGAUCCUUUUGUGUCCUUUGGAUUGUAUAUCCAUUGGUCAUUUAUGUAUUUAUUUAUGAAAUAAAACACAACACAUUUCAGCUAUUCGGUGUCUUGAUCUUGUGCAGGUCAGGGAUGAGAUUGAAACUGGGGUUAACUUCAGGGUCUUUAUUUGUUAUCUUAGACAUUAUAGUAAGAACAGGAUAUCCUAUAAUUGUAGUUAUAGGAAAGAGAGAUAGUAAACAGAAUACAAGAACAAAGAAAUAUGCAGACCGUCUCAAUUAUAUGAAUGAAACUUACUGCAUUGACUGGAAAAAAUAUAUCUAUGUAUAGCGCGAUGUUCCAAAUAUAGAACCUGGCUAUUAGAAAUAAUAUGGUCAGAGACCCUAAUUAAACAAAGUAUAUACAAGUGAACCUACAAUCCUAUGCCAGCCCAGGGUAGUAUAGAUCAAGAGGUAGUAAAAAAGAUAACCUCACUCCCCCUUAUAAUUGUAAGCUUUAUUGUAAUCUGCUAUAGGGAUAGGAGUAUACAGUAGCUAAGUCUCUAUAAUCCAUGCAUCCUAGGAAGUAUCCUGGUCACACUAGAAACAUAUUAAGAAAAACAGAGAGAGAUAAGGACUGAAAAUAGAAGUAAAAAAAUCAGUCAAAAACAGACUGAUAAUUAGCAUUAAUAAAGCCUCUCUCCCUGUAAAGCUAGCUAGAUAGGCAUAGGAAAGAAAAGAAGAAAACGAUAUAAAAUAAAGUUAAAUUAAAUGGUGAUCAUGGUGCUCCAAACACCAGUGCCCAGUGCAGAAAAAACGCCCAACGUACGUUUCGGUGCAGAGAGAUGCACCUUCGUCAGGGGCCAACAGAUAACUGAAGAGAAGCCUCUUAAAUACCCCAAUUGCCAGGAAGCAUGAUUACCUUGUAGCCAAUGGAGUGUGGGGGUGUAUACCUCCCCAGCUGCCUCUAAUAUCCUGGCUAUUCCUCUGUGAUUGCUAAUGCUCAUUCAUCUGUAUGAAGGGGAAAUCCCUCAGCCGGUCACGUGACCUGUGAUGUCAUGCGUCACGUGACGUAUCCGGCAUUCUCCUAACGGGGCGUGGCUCAUUCAUCAUAGUGCUGCAGUACCGCCCAUCCGAGCCUCUCCUGUCCAUCAUCCUCACAUGGGUUGAUCCCCUGUGACAGAUGGGCGGAGCUAGGUAUUCUCUGUGUAUGGAGAAACCGAAAUUGUCCAAAUUAAGGCUCAAAUUGAUAAGCUGCAUAUUGAUAAUGUAUCAUUCCAAAGUACCAAUGUGUACUAUAUAGGAUGUACAGAAUCAGCUGAAAAUAUAAGGCAGUGCUGAUUACAUAUUAUUCUAAUACUGAAUCUAUUAAAGAUGUAGUAAAGAAUAUGAGAGGACACCCCAAUAAUAAGAGAAAAAUUGAAUGAUAAGGGGUCCUGGGAUGUUGUUAACUCCCACUCCCCCGUCCCAGGCAAGGAUAUAUGAUAAUAAAUAUAUUUAGUGUUCAUAGGACCCAUGCUAGGAUGCAAAAUUAGCAUGGUACAUCCUGCCGCUAUAUCCUGUACACUGAGUCACUUGACAAUAUGAACCUCUGAAUGACCAGAUAUGACUUAGUCCGUAAAAUAAAAAUAAUAAUAAUAAGGCUAGCAUUCUUUUUGUCAAGAGGUCUUUAAACUUAUGGCACCUGAGGAUCCUAGUUGGUCUCCCAUACAAGUACUAGCCAGGUCCAAGUCUGGAUGGCUUCUGAGAUCUGACGAGAUCAGGCAUUUUCAGACUGGUAUGGCCAUUGAUAUUUUCAUUCAAGUGCUCAGCAAGCUUGGUCUAGGAACAUUAUUGGUAUUAUAGUCAUUAUAUAGCUAUUUCCUUGGGAGAAUUCAAGCAUUAGCAAUUUAGUGGUCCUCAUCCGGUAAUCAUGAGAAUAAAUUUAUAUGAUAAAAAAUAAUAUAAAAAAUAAUAAUAAAUAGAAAAGAAUAGUGAUAAUAGUAGUAAUAGUAAUAAGCAAAGAAUAUACCCAUUGUGGAACAAACCGCGCUAUAUUUACAAAUUUACAAGUGUAUCAGGCCAUAAGGCUCACUCAGAAUAGAUUAGUGCAGAGAUCACCCGCCGAGUACCACUGCCCGUAUAUGGGUCUGAGUCUCACACCUGGUAUCAGUGAUCUGCAAUAAAUGGUGUAUAUGAGAAACCUUCGUUAAGUCCCAAGGGUGACAGGGUUUUGAGCUUAUAGAUCCAGAAGCUCUCCCUUUGGAGUAGCUUCUUGUCUAAAUCCCCCCCUCUUGGUUCCAAGGUAACCCUUUCAAUACCACUAAAUCUGAUUCCUUCAGAUGAGCCCCCAUGAUGUAGUUUCAAAUGUUUAGAGAUAGGGGUGUCGAUUUGUCUUGUGGGGUUUACCGAAUUGACAUGUUCCCGUAUCCUAAGUUUAAACAUCCUAAAGGUUUUUCCCACAUACAGUUUUUUGCACGAACAGGAAAGUAAGUAGAUAAGCCCUUUGGACUGACAGUUAAAGAAAUUCUUUACUUUGAAUUCCUGUGUGCCGAGGGAGUCUGGGAAUGUUUUGGAGGGUCUACGUAGUAAACAGAAUAGAAUAUCUGAAAUUACAGGGAAGUAAAUAGGCUAUGGAAAAAAAAGGAUUUAGACAACAAGCCCAAAAUGGAAAAAGGUAAACCUAUUAAAGAAGUUAUAGGUAGAAUAAUUGAAGAUAAACCUAUAAGAGAGAUUAUAGGUACAAUAUAGAGGGAUAAGAUGGAACAGAAUUUAUGCCCCAGAACAGGAUAUAAAGAAACAACUAAACAGAACUAGACAGGAAUAUAAGGAAUACUUAAAUAGGGUUGUAGUUAUUCAGUCUAUUUGGAUAAGAGGUUGUAUUGUAGUAGCAGGUCUUUUAUGAUGGAUGCAAAUAUAGUUAGGAAUAUUAGUAAAUCUGAUGUAGGAGUAACAUAGAUAGCCACAAAGUAAAUUCAAGUCCAGUUUAGAUUUAAGCAAGUUGGAUGUCCAGCAGGAAUUUAAGGUGUUCCGGUUGGUUUGCUGCAGGUUUGUAGAUAAGGCAGGAAUGUAGCGUUGUACAGGCAAGCUUGGAGCAGGUUGGUGAAUAAAGCAGGUUAUAAAGCCAAUAAGGAAAGUCCACAGGUUAUAACACAGGAGCCAGGAUAUGAAGUCUUUCAGGCAAUCGUCAACUUCAAUGUCAAGGCCAUGAGUUGAGUUGGGCGUUACCUUUUGUAGGAACCCAAUUAGUCCAGGCAGGUGAGAAUGAUCAGUGUGAGUGUUCAAACUAGUGGUCAAACAAAAUCCAUGUAGAAACUUUUUUUUUUUUUUUUUUUAGGAACAGAAUAUACAGAACAAAAGUCUUGCUUGUCAGGACAGGAUCCUGACAUUCGGCCUUUCUCAGGUGUAGAUUCUUGCUAUCCAUAUUCCCACUAUUUAAACCCAAAUUUUUGGCGCCAAAUGGCUGACUGACUCCUUCCUCCUUUCCCAGAAGAACUGUCAGUUUCCUGUCGAACGCCUCGAGGAAGCCGGCCGCUAUGCGUCCUCCCCUUUUUAUGACGUGGCGCACGCGUGCCGACGCCAAGCUAGAGGCAGUAUGGAAGGUGGGGUUUACAAACGUCCUCUUACGUUUUGGGGGCGUGACUACAUUGAUCACGCCCCCAAUCAUAUAAAAGCUCAAUUAACCAAAGGUUCAGUGCCCUGUUCUGGUACCUAGGCUAGUGUCCCUAGAGUGCGUUAUAUUCAGGUUCUGUGACUUGGCUUAUUCUCUGACUUCUGGUUCCCUUGACUCGGCUCUGGUUUUUCGUAUUUGGUACUUCUGGUUCCCUCUGACUAGGCCUGUCUUUGACUAUUCUUAUCUUUUAGCCCGGCCAUUCUAAUGACCGGUAUGAUAGUUGGUGGGUUUAUUAUUCUUUGUGUUGGGUCACCUAUUCCUGACAAUUAGUUAUUGGGAUCAUCCUCAUGAUUGAAUCUUUCUUGAAUUUUUUCAGCCCGUUUACCUCUCCUUUCACAGAUAUCCAAAAGCCAGAUGUUGAGAGACAAUUUGGGGAAGUACAAGGGAGAUCUAGAAAAUAGUUACAAGCAUAUAAACAAAAAGCUAAUAAACCCACUGUGAACAAGUUACUUUUGUGUGUGAUUUUAAUUCUCAGAGUAAACUUUAGAAAAAUAUUUUAAACAUACAUUGGCACAUAUUAAACCAAUACAUAGGCCCUAAACCAAAGGUAGUGUAUAGGGGAGCGAAAAACCUCAUAAAAACCCUAACUAAAAGUUGUAUUGUAUAUAAUGUUGAAAGUAGGAAUACACUUGGAGAAAAAUUAAAGGGUUUUUAUAAGUGUGGCCAGUGUAUGGCAUGCAAGGAAACCACUGUUAAGAAUAAAUGUACCAAUAAUUUUAUCUCCAAUGUCACCAAUAAAAGUUACAAUGUUAAUUAUUUUAUCACAUAUAACACUCAGAAUGUUAUUUAUCUUUUAACAUGCGACUGUGGGUUACAUUAUGUAGGCAGGACUAUUAGACUCCUUAAAGUAAGAAUUGGGGAACAUGUUAGGAGCAUCAAGAAAAAAAUGGUAAAUCAUUCAGUUCCAGCUCAUUUUGCCCAGUUCCAUAACAGUAUUUCCAAAUCCCUCCACAUUUUCGGAAUAUAGAGUGUAAAAAAAUCCUAGAGAGGAGGGGAUCACUUAAAAAAGAUAAAUAAAUCAGAAAUGAAUUGGAUUUUCGAACUUGAAACUUUGUCCCCUAGGGGACGUAAAGGACCGCUAUAGUGCCAGGAAAACAAACUAGUUUUCCUGGCACUAUAGUGUUAAUAGGUCCCCCCCCCACCGUCAUGGCCCCCCUCCCGCCUGGCUGAAGGGAGAGGAAGGGGUUAAAUCACUUACCUUUCUCCAACACCAGGCUCCCUCAGCGCUCGGGACUCUCCUCCUCCUUCCGAUGUCAUCGGCUGAAUGCGCAUGUGUCUCAAUGCUUUCCUAUGGACGCUGGCGUCUUCUCACUGUAAAAAUCACAGUGAGAAGCCCGCAAGCGCCUCUAGCGGCUGUCAAUGAGACAGCCACUAGAGGAUGGAUUAACCCAUAUGUAAACAUAGCCGUUUCUGUGAAACAGCUAUGUUUACAGCAGGCAGGGUUAACCCUAGAUGGAUCUGGCACCCAGACCACUUCAUUGAGCUGGUCUGGGUGCUUAUAGUGGUCCUUUAAUAUAGACUUUGAGAUAUACAAUGUCCCAUUUUUAGGGGACUUUUAUAGGGUAUUACAAUAUAUUAUAAAUAUAAUGUAACCCUGACAUACUUUUAAGGAUGUAUUUAUAUCUUGAUUUGUACUUUUUUUUAAUCUUAUUUUAAUCUAUUGUAUUACUGUUCUUUUGUUUCCCAUACUUUAUUAGGUAUUUUGGACUAUUUGUCAUAUUUUAAAAUGGCCGCCGGAGUACCUCUGGUUGACGGACCAACUAAUAAAUGAUGAAACUACUUUUACUGCAUAAUGGCACCUACCACUACAGAACAGAAAUGACAAACACAAAAUGGCCACCAAACUGUUUCCGGCGUAAGAGGAAUACUGCAAGUCGACAUACUUCUGGGUAUACCAAGAUGGUGACAGGAAACUGCCGAUCCUUCUGGGAAAGGAGGAAGGAGUAGUCAGUAAAUCACCAUCUUUUGGCACCAAAGAUUUGGGUUUAAAUAGUGGGAAUAUGGAUAGCAAGAAUCUACACCUGAAGAAGGCCGAAUAGCCGAAACGCAUUGUGUUCUAUUUCAUUCCACAGCAUCUUGCCUACUUACAUGUAAG
RNAcentral lists this long non-coding RNA (18961 nucleotides) under Pelobates cultripes (western spadefoot toad). Lineage: Eukaryota; Metazoa; Chordata; Amphibia; Anura; Pelobatidae. The record is from RNAcentral.